RNAcentral lists this ribosomal RNA (473 nucleotides) under uncultured bacterium. RNAcentral's name for it is "partial 16S ribosomal RNA". It matches the Rfam family "Bacterial small subunit ribosomal RNA", at positions 29 to 507 of the family's 1533-position model. The record is from RNAcentral.
AACGAACGUUGGCGGCGUGGAUUAGGCAUGCAAGUCGUACGAGUUUCAUCUGGGUAACUGGAUGCAAAAAGUGGCGAAAGGGGCAGUAAGGCAUGGAUAAUCUACCCUGAUGACCGGGAUAGCUGUCUCAACGGGCAGGUAAUACCGGAUGAGCUUGUGGGGCCGCAUGGUUCUGCCAGGAAAGGCGCCAGCCGUGUCGGGAGGUAGCCUUGUGAUAUUAGCUAGUUGGUGUGGUAAAGGCUCACCAAGGCGAAGAUGUGUAGCGGGUGGGAGAGCACGACCAGUGCCAUUGCAAAUGAGACAUGGGCCAGACUCCAACGGGAGGCGGCAGGCGAGGAUCGUCGGCAAUGGGCGAAAGGCUGACCGAGGGACGCCGCGUGAGGGAUGAAGGCCAUUAGGUUGUAAAGCUCUGUCGAGGGGGAACAAGGCGCAAGGUGGCGGGAUCCCUGGAGGAAGCACGGGCUAAGUUCGUG